AACGAACGCUGGCGGCAUGCCUAACACAUGCAAGUCGAACGAAGGCUUCGGCCUUAGUGGCGCACGGGUGCGUAACGCGUGGGAAUCUGCCCUUGGGUUCGGAAUAACAGCGGGAAACUGCUGCUAAUACCGGAUGAUGACGUAAGUCCAAAGAUUUAUCGCCCAAGGAUGAGCCCGCGUAGGAUUAGCUAGUUGGUGGGGUAAAGGCCCACCAAGGCGACGAUCCUUAGCUGGUCUGAGAGGAUGAUCAGCCACACUGGGACUGAGACACGGCCCAGACUCCUACGGGAGGCAGCAGUGGGGAAUAUUGGACAAUGGGCGAAAGCCUGAUCCAGCAAUGCCGCGUGAGUGAUGAAGGCCUUAGGGUUGUAAAGCUCUUUUACCCGGGAUGAUAAUGACAGUACCGGGAGAAUAAGCUCCGGCUAACUCCGU
RNAcentral lists this ribosomal RNA (432 nucleotides) under uncultured bacterium. RNAcentral describes it as "partial 16S ribosomal RNA". It matches the Rfam family "Bacterial small subunit ribosomal RNA", at positions 29 to 506 of the family's 1533-position model. The record is from RNAcentral.